RNAcentral lists this ribosomal RNA (501 nucleotides) under uncultured bacterium. RNAcentral's name for it is "partial 16S ribosomal RNA". It matches the Rfam family "Bacterial small subunit ribosomal RNA", at positions 30 to 523 of the family's 1533-position model. The record is from RNAcentral.
AUUGAACGCUGGCGGCAGGCUAAACACAUGCAAGUCGAGCGGGGGAAGGUAGCUUGCUACCGGACCUAGCGGCGGACGGGUGAGUAAUGCUUAGGAAUCUGCCUAUUAGUGGGGGACAACAUCUCGAAAGGGAUGCUAAUACCGCAUACGUCCUACGGGAGAAAGCAGGGGAUCUUCGGACCUUGCGCUAAUAGAUGAGCCUAAGUCGGAUUAGCUAGUUGGUGGGGUAAAGGCCUACCAAGGCGACGAUCUGUAGCGGGUCUGAGAGGAUGAUCCGCCACACUGGGACUGAGACACGGCCCGGACUCCUACGGGAGGCAGCAGUGGGGAAUAUUGGACAAUGGGGGGAACCCUGAUCCAGCCAUGCCGCGUGUGUGAAGAAGGCCUUAUGGUUGUAAAGCACUUUAAGCGAGGAGGAGGCUACUCUAGUUAAUACCUAGGGAUAGUGGACGUUACUCGCAGAAUAAGCACCGGCUAACUCUGUGCCAGCCGCCGCUGUAA